CAAGAACCAGCGGUGUUGGGCAGUUGGGUGCGCAUCAACCAUCCCUGUGGGCGCGCCGAGACAAGGGAGACUUCUUCCCGAAAAUUCUACCCGGCAUGUCGAAAUUUGCUGGCGGCAAUCUGGUGGUGAUGUACAGGUUAUCAAUUGCCGGAGCCGGCUGCGGACAGCUUUUUGGCGCCGUUCGAGCCGAUAUGGCCGUUCCUGGCCGGCAACGCUUCUGAGGUGCAGAUCGGCUCCCAGCGGAUUGCUUCACCGCUGCCGUCGCCGAAAAAAUGAAUUCGGCGAAUACGCUGAUUCCGGUUCAGCGAGUUGAUCGUGUCGUGAAGGCGGCGCUUGGGGUCGAUGGCCGGCUGCAGGGG
This 359-nucleotide unclassified non-coding RNA is filed under the name uncultured bacterium. Its description in RNAcentral is "contains 16S-23S intergenic spacer region". The record is from RNAcentral.